This 420-nucleotide ribosomal RNA is filed under the name bacterium. RNAcentral's name for it is "partial 16S ribosomal RNA". It matches the Rfam family "Bacterial small subunit ribosomal RNA", at positions 355 to 776 of the family's 1533-position model. The record is from RNAcentral.
UGGGGGAUAUUGCACAAUGGGCGAAAGCCUGAUGCAGCGACGCCGCGUGGGGGAUGAAGGCUUUCGGGUUGUAAACCUCUUUCGCUAUCGAACAAGGCCCGCUUAGGGUGGGUUGAGGGUAGGUGGAGAAGAAGCGCCGGCUAACUACGUGCCAGCAGCCGCGGUAAUACGUAGGGCGCGAGCGGUGUCCGGAAUUAUUGGGCGUAAAGGGCUUGUAGGCGGCUUGUUGCGCCUGCUGUGAAAACGCGGGGCUUAACUUCGCGCGUGCAGUGGGUACGGGCAGGCUUGAGUGUGGUAGGGGUGACUGGAAUUCCAGGUGUAGCGGUGGAAUGCGCAUAUAUCUGGAGGAACACCGAUGGCGAAGGCAGGUCACUGGGCCAUUACUGACGCUGAGGAGCGAAAGCAUGGGUAGCGAACAGG